UUUUUUUUCCUUUUUUAUAGGUUAUGCAUCCAUGGAUCGUGCCUACUGAAGAGAAGUCGGUGAUGACUUCUUAUAUUACUCUAGGUCAUGUUGAUACUAUAGCAGACGCAAUAGUGGAGUUAAUAAAAAAGGAAUUGGCUGGAGCAACAGCCAUAAGAAGAGCAGUUAGGUAAGGUCAGCCUAAUGUUGAGGCUCUUCAUGACCAACCUUUUACUAAGGCAGAUCCGGGUGCUUCUUCUGGUGAAGUUGUUGGUGUUGAUGGCAGGCAUUCUGAU
RNAcentral lists this long non-coding RNA (275 nucleotides) under Capsicum annuum. RNAcentral describes it as "long non-coding RNA (CANN_LNC012713)". Lineage: Eukaryota; Viridiplantae; Streptophyta; Magnoliopsida; Solanales; Solanaceae. The record is from RNAcentral.